RNAcentral lists this ribosomal RNA (497 nucleotides) under uncultured bacterium. RNAcentral's name for it is "partial 16S ribosomal RNA". It matches the Rfam family "Bacterial small subunit ribosomal RNA", at positions 28 to 507 of the family's 1533-position model. The record is from RNAcentral.
GAUGAACGCUGGCGGCGUGCCUAAUACAUGCAAGUCGAGCGAACAGAUGAGGAGCUUGCUCCUCUGACGUUAGCGGCGGACGGGUUAGUAACACGUGGAUAACCUACCUAUAAGACUGGGAUAACUUCGGGAAACCGGAGCUAAUACCGGAUAAUAUAUUGAACCGCAUGGUUCAAUAGUGAAAGACGGUUUUGCUGUCACUUAUAGAUGGAUCCGCGCCGCAUUAGCUAGUUGGUAAGGUAACGGCUUACCAAGGCAACGAUGCGUAGCCGACCUGAGAGGGUGAUCGGCCACACUGGAACUGAGACACGGUCCAGACUCCUACGGGAGGCAGCAGUAGGGAAUCUUCCGCAAUGGGCGAAAGCCUGACGGAGAAACGCCGCGUGAGUGAUGAAGGUCUUCGGAUCGUAAAACUCUGUUAUUAGGGAAGAACAAAUGUGUAAGUAACUAUGCACGUCUUGACGGUACCUAAUCAGAAAGCCACGGCUAACUACGUG